CACGCAGGCGGUUUGUUAAGUCAGAUGUGAAAUCCCCGCGCUUAACGUGGGAACUGCAUUUGAAACUGGCAAGCUAGAGUCUUGUAGAGGGGGGUAGAAUUCCAGGUGUAGCGGUGAAAUGCGUAGAGAUCUGGAGGAAUACCGGUGGCGAAGGCGGCCCCCUGGACAAAGACUGACGCUCAGGUGCGGAAGCGUGGGGAGCAAACA
RNAcentral lists this ribosomal RNA (207 nucleotides) under uncultured bacterium. RNAcentral describes it as "partial 16S ribosomal RNA". It matches the Rfam family "Bacterial small subunit ribosomal RNA", at positions 568 to 774 of the family's 1533-position model. The record is from RNAcentral.